This 253-nucleotide ribosomal RNA is filed under the name uncultured bacterium. RNAcentral describes it as "partial 16S ribosomal RNA". It matches the Rfam family "Bacterial small subunit ribosomal RNA", at positions 524 to 776 of the family's 1533-position model. The record is from RNAcentral.
UACGAAGGGGGCUAGCGUUGCUCGGAAUCACUGGGCGUAAAGCGCACGUAGGCGGAUUGUUAAGUCAGGGGUGAAAUCCUGGAGCUCAACUCCAGAACUGCCUUUGAUACUGGCGAUCUUGAGUCCGGGAGAGGUGAGUGGAACUGCGAGUGUAGAGGUGAAAUUCGUAGAUAUUCGCAAGAACACCAGUGGCGAAGGCGGCUCACUGGCCCGGUGCUGACGCUGAGGUGCGAAAGCGUGGGGAGCAAACGGG